UACAGAGGGUGCGAGCGUUGUCCGGAAUCACUGGGCGUAAAGGCGCGUAGGUGGCGGCCCAAGUCCAUGGUGAAAGCUCGCCGCUCAACGGCGAGUCGGCCACGGAUACUGGGUUGCUCGAGCACUGUAGGGGCAGAUGGAAUUCCGGGUGUAGCGGUGGAAUGCGUAGAGAUCCGGAAGAACACCAGUGGCGAAGGCGGUCUGCUGGGCAGUAGCUGACACUGAUGCGCGGACAGCGUGGGGAGCAAACAGG
RNAcentral lists this ribosomal RNA (253 nucleotides) under uncultured bacterium. RNAcentral describes it as "partial 16S ribosomal RNA". It matches the Rfam family "Bacterial small subunit ribosomal RNA", at positions 524 to 776 of the family's 1533-position model. The record is from RNAcentral.